RNAcentral lists this ribosomal RNA (254 nucleotides) under uncultured bacterium. Its description in RNAcentral is "partial 16S ribosomal RNA". It matches the Rfam family "Bacterial small subunit ribosomal RNA", at positions 524 to 776 of the family's 1533-position model. The record is from RNAcentral.
UACGUAGGGUGCGAGCGUUAAUCGGAAUUACUGGGCGUAAAGCGUGCGCAGGCGGUCUGUUAAGACCGAUGUGAAAUCCCCGGGCUUAACCUGGGAACUGCAUUGGUGACUGGCAGGCUUUGAGUGUGGCAGAGGGAGGUAGAAUUCCACGUGUAGCAGUGAAAUGCGUAGAUAUGCGGAGGAACACCGAUGGCGAAGGCAGCCUCCUGGGAUAACACUGACGCUCAUGCACGAAAGCGUGGGGAGCAAACAGG